CAGCAGCCGCGGGAAUACAGAGGGUGCGAGCGUUAAUCGGAUUUACUGGGCGUAAAGCGUGCGUAGGCGGCUAAUUGAGUCGGAUGUGAAAUCCCCGAGCUUAACUUGGGAAUUGCAUUCGAUACUGGGAAGCUAGAGUAUGGGAGAGGAUGGUAGAAUUCCAGGUGUAGCGGUGAAAUGCGUAGAGAUCUGGAGGAAUACCGAUGGCGAAGGCAGCCAUCUGGCCUAAUACUGACGCUGAGGUACGAAAGCAUGGGGAGCAAACAGGAUUAGAUACCCCCGUAGUCCCUGUCUCUUAUAC
Molecule: ribosomal RNA, 301 nt
Filed under: uncultured bacterium
Lineage: Bacteria
Description: partial 16S ribosomal RNA
Rfam family: Bacterial small subunit ribosomal RNA
Source: RNAcentral